GAUUAAGUGUUCCGCCCUGGGGAGUACGGUCGCAAGAUUAAAACUCAAAGAAUUAGACGGGGACCCGCACAAUGGUUGGAGCAUGUUGUUUAAUUCGAAGAUUCGCGAAGAACCUUACCUAGCCUUGACAUUGAUAGAACACCGUAGAGAUACAGUGGUGCCCCUCGGGGAACUUGAAAACAGGUGCUGCACGGCUGUCGUCAGCUCGUGUCGUGAGAUGUUGGGUUAAGUCCCGCAACGAGCGCAACCCUCGUCCUUAGUUGCCAGCAGGUUAAGCUGGGCACUCUAGGGAGACUGCCUUCGCAAGGAGGAGGAAGGUGAGGACGACGUCAAGUCAUCAUGGCCCUUAUGGCUAGGGCUACACACGUGCUACAAUGGGGCGUACAGAGAGUUGCGAUACCGCGAGGUGGAGCCAAUCUCAUAAAGCGUCUCUCAGUUCGGAUUGGAGUCUGCAACUCGACUCCAUGAAGCUGGAAUCACUAGUAAUCGUAGAUCAGCAAUGCUACGGUGAAUACGUUCCCGGGUCUUGUACUCACCGCCCGUCACACCAUGGGAGUAGAUUCACCCGAAAUU
This 573-nucleotide ribosomal RNA is filed under the name uncultured bacterium. RNAcentral's name for it is "bacterial SSU rRNA". It matches the Rfam family "Bacterial small subunit ribosomal RNA", at positions 858 to 1427 of the family's 1533-position model. The record is from RNAcentral.